Molecule: non-coding RNA, 2872 nt
Organism: Lolium perenne
Lineage: Eukaryota; Viridiplantae; Streptophyta; Magnoliopsida; Poales; Poaceae
Source: RefSeq, a predicted model, not a curated record
CUUAAUUCAAGGUACACUUUUCUGCAAGUUAUAUAAUGGAACUUGGUUACCACUUAGCAUUUGCUAAUAGCAUUCUUGGUCGUCUUAUCUGAAGCCCGAACAUCGUCCUUCGAAGAUUGCUACCAUUUGCUUAAUCUCCAUGAUUACCUUACGUUGUUCUUUUGUGUUAUGAGCCCAGAUGAUCAUUAAAUUAUGAGCCCAGAUUAGUAUGUUCUUUGCUAGAAUGAACGUAGAUUUCUAUUUUCAUACUUAUGGUUCUGAUGAAUGAAAAAAAUAUUAAUUGACAUGGAUAUAAAUGUGUUUAUAGUACCUAUGGUCAUCAGAAGUUUUCCCAUGAAUUUUGAGCUUUAUGCUGUCUUUUUUAAAUCAUAUUCUAGCAAGGGUUUCAUAUAAUUUUAGUACAUCUUUAAACACAAUUAGCGUCUUUAUGGAACCAGAGUCAUUCAAUAAAGAUUUCUUGUUCAUCUCUAAAUUAAACUGUAUACUGCUUUCAUUAGUAUUGCUUAGCACUCUUGCACACCAUUUGGUUCAAUAGUUCAGUCACUGUAAUGUAUCUUCCCUGUACAUUAUGCAUUGUUUACUAUUUUUUAAUAUAUACCUUUUCAUAUUCCCAUGGCUCUUUAUUCUAUGAAGCACUUGGUUUGGUUAGAAGUCAUAUUAAUUUUUUAUUUGAAAUUCCCUCAAAAAUAUUUAUUUGAAAUGGCAAACUAUUACAAUGUAAUGAAUAUACGGAUAUAAGUAAUACAUAGGUUUUAUUUUAGGGAAGCUAACUAAUAAGUUUAUCUUUGGUCUUCCCAGGAAGCUCAUCAAAUCAACCAACUGACACACCCAUGUCACACUAUACUUUUAGACUUCUGAACAGCAAAGUAAAUUUCAGGGAGAAAUGUCGUAUUAUCAAAAUAAUAUUCCCUGCUCAGGAAAGAACUUAAACGUUACCAGCCAUAAAAUACAGCACCACCCACCUUAUUGUCGUGGCCAUAAAUGGAACCAUCCUUACUGACAUAAAUGGAAUCGACAAUAUCAUUGCAGGCAUCAGCUAAGCUGGUGUUAGAUGGAAGAGACCACCACCCUAUUUUUGUGGCAAGAGUUAUUACCAUUUCUUUUUUUGGUGUCUUGAGAUCAUGAGAUAGCCAGGGAAAGUUCGUCACCACAGCGAGUAUAAUAUGGGACCCUUAGGCUGAAGUUAUAAGCUCUAUGCACACCGAGAAACAUGUGUCUCGCCCUAGACUGUUAAGUUAUUACAGACUUGUAACAAGCAGAAAUUAGAGGUGUGAGUUCUUAGUUAUGCUCCUGGACCAAGUAUGUAGACCAAAUGACUUUCGUUUUUUUAAGGAUACAAUGCCUGAUAAUUGUUUAUAUAGAGAACUUCUCCGUAGUGCACUCUACCUGUUCAUUCAGAAAGUUAUCGAGCACAUUGCAUAAGAUUUAACUAACUUGACUGAUCUACAUAUGUAUAUACACAUGCAUGAUGCAUCUGCUUUUAUAUUUUGCCAUUGCACUUGUGGUUGAGCUGACAAGACUUCUUGAUCAUCAUGGUGAAGGGGAGCGAUGGGUGAAGUGGUGCACGUAAAAACGAUCAGAGGGGAGAUGAUCCUGAUGGUAAAGGGGAGCGAGAGGUGAAAUGGUGCACGCAAAAAGGAUCAGGUGUAUAAAAUCUAAUUUCCCUGCAGUCAAACAAAAUAAUACAGGGCUACUGAGUGCUCUUUGUUAAUACAAUUGCCUCACUCAUUCAAUAAUUUCUUUAGUGUAUCUGAUAUGUUACAGUACUAGGGCUGUGAUAUGUAUGCGUGGAAAAAUAAAGUGUACGCGAAUUAAUUCAUGACAUGAGUCAAUCCUAUUUUCUCCCUUUUUUACUUUUAACUUCAGUCAGAAAUACAUGUUGAUGUAUUUAUGGACGCUUGAUCUGUUAUGGAGAGUUUGAUGUUUCUAGACACUGAUAAUUUUGUUUAUUGGCUUUAUCAAUAAGUUUUUUCAUCUCAAGAUAAUUUAAUUAAUGAUGAUCAAGAAAGAAACAAAUUGUUGGUUGAUCGAUCUUUGAUAGUAUGGAAUCAGCAUACAAACCCAACUUCCUCAUUGAAUUUUUUUUAUAUGCUAAGGUAGAGGAGUGUCACGGAAUUUGGGAACAGUAACUUCAAAUAGGUGGAGCCAUAGGCAUAGUCUUAUUUUUCCCUAUAAUUUUCGAUUGAUGCUAACUGCAUAAUAAAAUGUCAUCAUGCAACAUCUUAUAUAGUUAUGUAUUGUUUUGUUCCAGAAUUUACCAUGAGAUGUCAAGAAUUAGGAUGAGAAUCGGAUGUUGGAGACUGAGCAUAUAUUGCAGGUAUCGUGGCAAGAAUGGGAGGAGCGACGGUGUAGCCGAGGGAGAGGGAAUAUGCGAGCUGAAAGACAUGUUGAGACAAAAAAAGAAAGAGAAAGAACAUUCAAACAUGUGGUGUUAGGAGGGGGAGAGACCUUGUCUUUUAUAAUUAUCGUGAUAUUUUUUGAAUGCUAGGUAACUCCUCACUGCAAGGUGAACAGAAAGUCAUGCCUGACAGUGGAAAGACAAGCAUGUGGGCAGAGAGGUUGUAGGCAGCGAUGUAACCAACCCAUGGUGGGCGAGGACAAAUCAGUGUGGACGAGGUGGUGCGGGAAUGACAAUGGAUGAAAAUGAGGUGAACCAAGCAACGAAAAAUGAGUCUGUGGCUAAGUGCGGUGUAGCGAAGACAAGGCAGCACCAGAUCGAGGGAGAUUAUUAGAUUGGACAAGGAGCUAGGGGAACAUGAACGGGAAGAGUAUGAUGGAGGAAUACAACUUAUGUGAUAGUCUAAAAUGUAACAUUUGAAUCAAAUUUCACUAUACAUCUUGUUAUUAUCCCGGUGCAACGCACGGGCAUAUU